RNAcentral lists this ribosomal RNA (433 nucleotides) under uncultured Coriobacteriaceae bacterium. RNAcentral describes it as "partial 16S ribosomal RNA". It matches the Rfam family "Bacterial small subunit ribosomal RNA", at positions 341 to 792 of the family's 1533-position model. The record is from RNAcentral. Lineage: Bacteria; Bacillati; Actinomycetota; Coriobacteriia; Coriobacteriales; Coriobacteriaceae.
ACGGGAGGCAGCAGUGGGGGAUAUUGCACAAUGGGGGAAACCCUGAUGCAGCGACGCCGCGUGAGUGAAGAAGUAUUUCGGUAUGUAAAGCUCUAUCAGCAGGGAAGAAAAUGACGGUACCUGACUAAGAAGCACCGGCUAAAUACGUGCCAGCAGCCGCGGUAAUACGUAUGGUGCAAGCGUUAUCCGGAUUCAUUGGGCGUAAAGCGCGCGUAGGCGGCUUGCUAAGCGGAACCUCUAAUCCGAGGGCUCAACCCCCGGCCGGGUUCCGAACUGGCAGGCUCGAGUGCGGUAGGGGCAAGUGGAAUUCCAUGUGUAGCGGUGGAAUGCGCAGAUAUAUGGAAGAACACCGAUGGCGAAGGCAGCUUGCUGGGCCGACACUGACGCUGAGGUGCGAAAGCGUGGGGAGCGAACAGGAUUAGAUACCCUGGUA